This is a long non-coding RNA of Gossypium raimondii (Peruvian cotton), 2609 nucleotides long. RefSeq lists it as uncharacterized. The transcript is spliced from 3 exons. Lineage: Eukaryota; Viridiplantae; Streptophyta; Magnoliopsida; Malvales; Malvaceae. The record is from RefSeq and is a predicted model, not a curated record.
ACAGUUAAAGCCUAAACUUAAAAAAAAAACCCAAACGCCAAAUCUGAAAUGAAGAAAGAAAACAUAAAUGAAAAAGAAAACUAUUCAAUUCUUUGGCAUCCUUCAUCAACUUCUCUACAACCAUUGUCAAAACCAUCAAACAUCCUACUCCUUUUUCGUUCACGAUGGAUUGUGUGUAGAGACUGAAACCAUCGGAUUCCUUUUAUUCUUAUUUCUCCGACUCAUUUCACCUUUCUGACAGGGACCUUCUAUCUUCUUCAACUGCCAAUUUCGUUCUUGGAGGUGCCUCUUCAGCCUAGAACCUCGGUGAAUCUCAUCGUUUCCCUUCCUCCGUCAUUAUAUGCGCCGCGUGGUUCAUUGAUCUACCUGUAAAUUGACAGUCAAGGAGUCCCUUUCAACCACCAGAUUUCUGAAUCCCAAAUCUUCAACCACUACUACCUUUUGUAAACAAGCUCUCGCCUCCGCCAUGGUUGCAUCAACCACAAAUGUAUUAGGGUAAGUGCAUGCUGCCAGUAUAUGUCCUUCGAAAUCUCUAAAAAUUAUUCCUGUUACUGAACUCAUCAUAUAACUGUUAUACGCUGCAUCAAAAUUACCUUUUACCACACUUAUCCUCAGUGGAGUCCAUGCACAGCCAUUUUGUUGAACACCUACUUCUAUCACUACUUCUAGUUUAAUGUUCUCUGUGUAAAAUGACUUAAUAAAAUUUAUCAAUCUCGUUUUUCUUGCCCUUCUCCUUAAUGAUAAACUUUGUUUAUGUGAUACCAUACUGCACAAAACUUCAUGACUAACCAUUUACACUGCCCUUCUUUCAUAUUCAAAAAUAAAUUUGCUAACCACAUAUUCUAAUUUUUUUUCCGGGCAACUGGAUGAGCCAUCAAUCCCCACUCAUUGCAGGACACAUUUAAUGUAUGUACAUUCUCAGAAGACGUGACUCACUGAUUGCUCCAUUGUACGGCAGAGAGGACAAAGAUUCAUAACCUGUAAAUUUCUAUUUUUUAAAUUGUUAAAAGUAGGGAGGAAGUUAUUGGCGAUUCUCCAAAAUAUAAUUUUGAUUUUUCUUGCAACCUAUAAUCUCCAUAAUUUGUUGUAAAAUUUCUGUAGUAGCGUAGGUUGAUGUAUCCCCUCCCCUUGCCCUAUUAUCGUAUCCGCCUGUAACAGCCAUUUGUAUCUACUUUUUGCGAAAUACACCCCUCUUUUAUCACCCAACCACACCCUUUCAUCGUGAAUAUCCACUGCAACAAGUGGGAUGGACAGAAUUUUGGAAAUUUGCUCUUCAUCAAAAAGCUGUCGUAACACAUCAAUUCUCCAGUCUCAGGAUCUAAGCUUCAUUCUAGAUGUUGAUCAACUUUCUGUUCCCCACUUUCCAUCCUAUUCCUUCCUCCAAAAGUUUCCUCGCACUCUAAAUACUUCUCCAGGUAAACGAAGGGUGAGAUCCUAACCUCGCAUUUAUAAAAUCAAUAUGUGAAAAAUACUUUGCUUUCAUAACAUGCGCAAAUAAGCAAUCUGGUUUCGUAAUUAAUCUCUUCCCUUGUAUUGCAAGUAAAGCUAUAUUAAACUUCGCCAAAUCCCUAAAACCCAACCCUCCUUGAUCUUUUGAUUUACACAUUUUUUUUCCAAUCACACCAAUAAAUUCCCUUCCCUGUUUUAGAAUUUCUCCACCAAAAUUUCCUAAUAAUAUUUUCAAACUGACGACUUAGUGAAACAGGAAAUAAGAAACAUUGCAAAGUAUAAACUAGAAUGGCUUGUAAUAUAGCUUUAAUAAAAACUUAUUUUCCUCUAAGAGAUAACUGACGAACACUUCAACUUUCAAUACUUUUAAUAAAUCUAUCUCUGAAACUUGCAAACGCCUCCUUUUUUUGCGGUCCAAUCUUAGUCGGUAGACCCAAAUAUCUCUUUAGAUUACGCGAAACCCUUACCUCAAGAAUCGAUCCGAUCUGCUCUUGCCUAUCGAUUUGAAUAUUGGUAUUGAAAAAAAUCAGUGAGUUCUCAAAAUUAAUCAACUACCCUGUAACCCCUUCAUAUUCGUUCACAAUUGUUUUAAUAGCACUUGCACCUUCCAAACUUGCUUCCCCAAAUAAUAUAUUGUCAUCAGCAAAGAAAAAAUGAGUUAAAGUAAGUCCUCCUAUCCCCAUCAUUACGCCUUUAAUAGCUCCCUCUCUUUUUACCAAUUGAAUGAGUGAAGAAAAACCCUCUACACAAAUAAGAAAUAAGUAUGGACUCAAAAGCUCCCCUUGUCACAAACCCCUUGAAGGCUUAAAUUUUUCUCCUCUAAUCCUAUUAAACAGAACCAAAUAUUCCACCGAUCGGAUGCACCCCAUCACAAGAUUCAACCAUUCAUCACAAAAAUCCAUUUGUUUCAUUACUUGUUCAAUAAAAUUCCAUUCAACCCUAUCAUAGGCCUUGCUCAUAUAUAAUUUUAAUGCAAAAUAGCCUCGAUUUCCUUCUCUUUUUUAUUUUAAUGUUUGUAAAACCUCAUAGGCAAUGAUCGCAUUAUCUAUGACUUGUUGUCCAUGAACAAAAGCUGCUUGCGCCUCGUCAAUGCAUUUGUCCAACACAGUUCUAAAUCUGUUUACAAUUGUUUUGGAUAUGAUUUUAUACACCACAUUACA